This 1996-nucleotide long non-coding RNA is filed under the name Homo sapiens (human). RNAcentral describes it as "non-protein coding lnc-EIF2AK3-1:8". Lineage: Eukaryota; Metazoa; Chordata; Mammalia; Primates; Hominidae. The record is from RNAcentral.
GCUCUGUGAAGUACCAUUAGCCGCGGGAAUAUCAGUAUGGUGACUCCUUACCCUGGGGAAGUGUACUUAGGCCACGGCUAGGUGAAUGAGAACGUGGCCAUGGACAAGAAUUCCAAGUAGUGGCACUUCUGUAGACGACGCGGCCCUUUUGGGGUUACUACAGCCCAGGAAACUCACAUGCGACACGGCGCCAGCUGAAGUCCAUCUAGACCCCCGCAGACCCAAGGUCACAAGUUGAGAACCCCCUGCCGUGGACAUUCUUCUGCACCUAGUGGUGAAGCAGGUGGAGCUGCACCUUGCUCCGCCCAUUUGGAGACUGGUUCUGCACAUAUGAGUGUGCCCUGCAGCGAUCCUGCAAUCCUUCGUGACUAACAAGGACUUUCUGUGAAAACAGAUUUAUCUUUUCUUCUCUACCUUUAAGGUUUCUUGCUGUUGAGAAUAGUUAAGGGACGAGGAAUUCUUAUUGCCCCCAUUUUACAGGCAAAGAAACUAAUGCUGACCCCAACCUUACCGACCACUUGGAGGUCCCUAAAAACACAUGACCUUUGUGUUUCUCGGCUGUUAGUGGAAUCCUUUCUGUCUGCUCAUGAACUCAUCUUCAAACGCAUUCCAGGCCUUCAGAACUCUUCCGUGAGCGCAAGUCACUGGUAUGGGCCACUGUUAACUGCCGGUUAUCACCUAGAUUUUCUUAACUAUGCUUUGCCCUCUGAGGCCGUGAGCUCUUGAAUCUUCACCUUAGUCUGUAGGAGGAAAAGUUGUUUGAGAUGAUAUUUGAAUCCUUCAUUUUAGGCCAAAUUCAGAACAUAGCAAAAGGUUCUGGCUAACAUGCAGAACAGUAUGUCUGGACUCCCACUACUGUUGGUCUGCAAAGUUGAAGGCUACUCUAGGCAAAUAUGUCACCUUUAAUGUAUCUCCUUAGGAGGAGUCUUUCACCUUAUUCAUGCUCCUCAGCACCCACACCAAAAGAUUCAUGAAGUAAAUGUUACCUAGUCUCUGCUUUACCCCAUUACCCCCGGCCUGAGGACCUUUGAACCAUUUUAAAUGCUCUACCUGCCAGCCUGGCCAUCUGUGCAUUGCUUGCUCCAUCCACCCUUCUGACUCAGCUGAAAUACCACCUUCCCAAAGAAGUCUAAGUGACCACCUCAUCUAAAUUGGGUUUCCUGCCCACCCCUCCUCUAUCACUUUGCGCAUGGUUGUAUUUCUAUCACAGAACUUCCGUCCAUCAUUCGUGUCCUUCGUUUUGUACUUGUUUAUCAUAUAUCCUCUGUAGAACAGAACAUUCUGAGAAGACGGACUUUGGGUGUCUUUCUACAAAAUCCUCCAUUCCUAAAACUGCUUUACCUGUAGAUGGUCCUCAACAAAUAUCUAAAACAUUUUAAAUAACAAAUAGAUGUCAUGCUUUAACCCUACACUCCACCUUCGGCCAUACAGAAUUUUAGUCCCUGCGUCCAUGCUCUUACCUCCGUGGUUUUGUACACUCUGUACCGUUCUAACUCUCAGAUAUUCUUCAAGACUUCAUUCUGUUACUUGUUACUCUGCAACUCUAAACCCCACUCUUAGUUGAGUUGGCUGCUCUUCGGUGCUCACAAUUACCUGUAACCUCUCUGUCAUAACCAUCUCACUCUAUUCAUUUGACUGUCUCACUCAAACGACGUGUCCCUUGAUGGCAGAGACUGUUGCUCAUAACAUGGACAGUGCAUUGUUCAAUUACUGUUUUGGGGUGACAAAGUCUGUCUGUGCCUCUUUGCGUUCUCUUUCCUUCUCUCUUUUCUCCAUGUUGUACUUGUCUUUCCAUUUCUGCAACCCUUUUAAUCCUUUCCUUAGGUUGUUAUUCAUGCCUAGUGAUUCUCAUGGACAUUCCGAAAUCCCGGUUCUUAGGGCUGAAGACUAUGCUGAUCUUUGAAAUAAUAUGAGUAUCGCAUUCUGAUGAUACUUCAUUUGCAUAAUUAUUGAUAAUAGUGCCAGGUACAAUGCUAAGUGCUUUGCAGACUUUAUC